This 465-nucleotide long non-coding RNA is filed under the name Phoenix dactylifera (date palm). Its description in RNAcentral is "long non-coding RNA (PDAC_LNC012530)". The record is from RNAcentral. Lineage: Eukaryota; Viridiplantae; Streptophyta; Magnoliopsida; Arecales; Arecaceae.
UGCCACAUUCACUGGAAUCCAAUAGCUCGCCACAUAUCCUUCUUCUUAUCUUUUUUUAGUAUUGUGUCAACUCUCUGCUACUUCGAAUCCUUGCUGGAGAAGGUAUGUGAAUCUAAAUCAUAAAUGGCUCCUGGUGGAAGCUUUAUGGAGAAUUUCUUUUUGUUACCAAAAGCCCCCAGCAUAGAUAUAAUACAACCAUCACCUUUGCUGACGGCCUUCCUAACUAAGGAGGUCUUUUUGAACUCUGGAUCUAUCCUGCCGCUCGCAGAACCGGAGCUCGACUCAUAGUAUGAGAGCCUAAAUUGAGCCCUAUGCCUGGCCACCUCAUCCUAUUGCCACUGAUCAUCCAGGCUUGCUUGAAUGGCAGCCUGGAUCUGUACCUCUUUAUCAUCUGGAGCAGACAUCUCUUACUUUCUGGAGGGAUAAGAAGGUGGCUUUGUCACUCGACAGUCCACCUCCACCUUC